RNAcentral lists this ribosomal RNA (407 nucleotides) under uncultured bacterium. Its description in RNAcentral is "partial 16S ribosomal RNA". It matches the Rfam family "Bacterial small subunit ribosomal RNA", at positions 30 to 526 of the family's 1533-position model. The record is from RNAcentral.
AUUGAACGCUAGCGGGAUGCCUUACACAUGCAAGUCGAACGGAGUGGCGAACGGGAGAGUAAUGGAUCGGAACGUGCCCAGUAGCGGGGGAUAACUACGCGAAAGCGGAGAUAAUACCGCAUACUAUUGGACCGGACGAUAUCGGAUUAGCUAGUUGGGGGGGUAACGGACCACCAAGGCGACGAUCCGUAGCGGGUUUGAGAGGACGACCAGCCACACUGGGACUGAGACACGGCCCAGACUCCUACGGGAGGCAGCAGUGGGGAAUUUUGGACAAUGGGCGAAACCCUGAUCCAGCCAUCCCGCGUGUGCGAUGAAGGCCUUCGGGUUGUAAAGCACUUUUGGCAGGAAAGCGGUACCUGCAGAGUAAGCACCGGCUAACUACGUGCCAGCCGCCGCGGUAAUAC